UCCAUGAUUAAUAAAAUUAAAUAGCUGCAGAAUUUUAACUGUACAAAGGUAGCAUAAUCAAUAGUUUUUUAAUUAAAAGCUGGUAUGAAUGAUUUGAUAAGGUAAAUAUUGUCUCAAGUUUAAUAUUAUUAUAAUUUUUUUUUUAGUAAAAAUACUAAAUUGAAUUUAAAAGACGAGAAGACCCUAUAGAUUUUUAUAUAUUUUAUAUUAAAUUAAUUUAAAUAUAUAAAAAAUUUUUAAUAAAAAAUAUAUUAGAUUGGGGUAAUUAUUAAAUUAAAUAAAUUUUAAAAGUUUAAAGACAAUAAUUAUUGAUUAUUUGAUCUUAAAUAUUUAAAUUAAGAGAGUAAAAUACCUUAGGGAUAACAGCGUAAUUUUUUUGGAGAGAUCUUAUUGAUAAAAAAGUUUGCGACCUCGAUGUUGAAUUAAGAUUAAAUUUUAAUGCAGAAAUUAAAAAUUUUUAGUCUGGUCGACUAUUAAAAUCUUAC
Molecule: ribosomal RNA, 485 nt
Filed under: Anacis flammigera
Lineage: Eukaryota; Metazoa; Arthropoda; Insecta; Hymenoptera; Ichneumonidae
Description: partial 16S large subunit ribosomal RNA
Rfam family: Archaeal large subunit ribosomal RNA (bases 359-485)
Source: RNAcentral